GCAGUGGUGGUUCAGUGGUAGAAUUCUCACCUUACAUGCAGAAGACCCAGGUUUGAUUCCCUGCCAAUGCA
This 71-nucleotide transfer RNA is filed under the name Loxodonta africana (African savanna elephant). It matches the Rfam family "tRNA". From Rfam's summary of the family: Transfer RNA (tRNA) molecules are approximately 80 nucleotides in length. The record is from Rfam by way of RNAcentral. Lineage: Eukaryota; Metazoa; Chordata; Mammalia; Proboscidea; Elephantidae.